AUUGUGGAAUAAUCUCUCUCACAGGUCGAAACACACACUAUUGAGUGGAAAUCUCCUUCUGAAGAUUGGUUCGAGAAGAAAGGCUAUUCGUAAAAACCAUGAGAAAGCAAAAACCACCAAACGGAGCCAAAAACCGGGUUGCACCUCCCCAUUAAAAGGAAGUACGGUGUCUUCGAAAUCGGAACGAAAAAUUAGUAAUUGGAAGAAGAUUUAGAAGAUCGAAAGAGAUUAACACAGGAAAUUUUCUGCAUGGCUAUAUGUAGAUUUGAAUUUGACGAAGAGACGAAAAGACGAAGAUUGCUCAGAAAGGAAGACAGAUUCAUUGGGUUUUGUUGGGUAUAUCAUCAGGUAAAAAAGCUUCUUUGGCAGAAGAAGAUGAAUUCAAAGCAGAGAUUUCAGGGGUGUCUCGUGAAUUCUUGUUUCUAAAGUGUAGAGAGAGAGUUGAGAGAGAGAGAGAGAGUUUUUUGCCAAAGGAAUCAUUGAAUGCUGUGAUUUUAGUAGAGCCACAUACUCAAAAGUUGAGCACUAUAUGCUAUAUACCACAUUUGUGAGUUUGGAAAUUUUAAAAAUGGGGGAAUAUUAUUCUUAAUUUUAUUUAUUUUAUUUUCUUUGGCUGAAAUUGUACGAAGUCUCAGCAAAUGGGAACAACCAUAAGCGGCUUGCUGGUUUCACGAAUAAAGUUACAACGACGACUUUAGUUGAA
Molecule: non-coding RNA, 703 nt
Organism: Erythranthe guttata (spotted monkey flower)
Lineage: Eukaryota; Viridiplantae; Streptophyta; Magnoliopsida; Lamiales; Phrymaceae
Source: RefSeq, a predicted model, not a curated record